UUGGAGGGCAAGUCUGGUGCCAGCAGCCGCGGUAAUUCCAGCUCCAAUAGCGUAUAUUAAAGUUGUUGCAGUUAAAAAGCUCGUAGUUGAAUUUCGGGAUCAAUUUAUCGGUCGUGCCUACGGUAUGAACUGGUACAAUUGGUUUCUCCCUUCUGAAGAAGCAUGAUGUCAUUAAUUUGGUGUCGUGGGGAAUCAGGACUGUUACUUUGAAAAAAUUAGAGUGUUUAAAGCAAGCAUUAGCUUGAAUACAUUAGCAUGGAAUAAUGAAAUAGGACGUUUGACCCUAUUUUGUUGGUUUCUAGGAUCGACGUAAUGAUUAAUAGGGAUAGUUGGGGGCAUUAGUAUUCAAUUGUCAGAGGUGAAAUUCUUGGAUUUAUUGAAGACUAACUACUGCGAAAGCAUUUGCCAAGGAUGUUUUCAUUAAUCAAGAACGAAAGUUAGGGGAUCGAAGACGAUCAGAUACCGUCGUAGUCUUAACCAUAAACUAUGCCGACUAGGGAUCGGAUGAUGUUAAUUUUUUAAUGACUCAUUCGGCGCCUUACGGGAAAC
RNAcentral lists this ribosomal RNA (549 nucleotides) under uncultured Glomeromycotina. RNAcentral describes it as "SSU rRNA". It matches the Rfam family "Eukaryotic small subunit ribosomal RNA", at positions 548 to 1098 of the family's 1831-position model. The record is from RNAcentral. Lineage: Eukaryota; Fungi; Glomeromycota.